Molecule: ribosomal RNA, 386 nt
Filed under: uncultured bacterium
Lineage: Bacteria
Description: bacterial SSU rRNA
Rfam family: Bacterial small subunit ribosomal RNA
Source: RNAcentral
AUUGAACGCUGGCGGCAUGCCUUACACAUGCAAGUCGAACGGCAGCACGGGGGCAACCCUGGUGGCGAGUGGCGAACGGGUGAGUAAUACAUCGGAACGUGCCCAGUAGUGGGGGAUAGCCCGGCGAAAGCCGGAUUAAUACCGCAUACGACCUACGGGUGAAAGCGGGGGAGUCGCAAGACCUCGCGCUAUUGGAGCGGCCGAUGUCAGAUUAGGUUGUUGGUGGGGUAAGGCCUACCAAGCCUACCGAUCUGUAGCUGGUCUGAGAGGACGACCAGCCACACUGGGACUGAGACACGGCCCAGACUCCUACGGGAGGCAGCAGUGGGGAAGUUUUGGACAAGUGGGGGCGAACCCUGAUCCAGCCAUGCCGCGUGCGGGAAGAA